RNAcentral lists this ribosomal RNA (253 nucleotides) under uncultured bacterium. Its description in RNAcentral is "partial 16S ribosomal RNA". It matches the Rfam family "Bacterial small subunit ribosomal RNA", at positions 524 to 776 of the family's 1533-position model. The record is from RNAcentral.
UGCGGAGGGUGCAAGCGUUAUCCGGAUUCACUGGGUUUAAAGGGUGCGUAGGUGGAUUAGUAAGUCAGUGGUGAAAUCUCCGGGCUUAACCCGGAAACUGCCAUUGAUACUAUUAGUCUUGAAUACCGUGGAGGUCAGCGGAAUAUGUCAUGUAGCGGUGAAAUGCUUAGAUAUGACAUAGAACACCAAUUGCGAAGGCAGCUGGCUACACGAAUAUUGACACUCAGGCACGAAAGCGUGGGGAUCAAACAGG